This 306-nucleotide ribosomal RNA is filed under the name uncultured bacterium. Its description in RNAcentral is "bacterial SSU rRNA". It matches the Rfam family "Bacterial small subunit ribosomal RNA", at positions 30 to 345 of the family's 1533-position model. The record is from RNAcentral.
AUUGAACGCUGGCGGCAUGCCUAACACAUGCAAGUCGAACGGGGUAGCAAUACCCAGUGGCGGACGGGUGAGGAAUACAUAGGAAUUUGCCUUUAGGUGGGGAGUAGCCCGGGAACGUACGGAGUAAUACCGCAUGAUGUCGAAAGAACCAAAGACAGGGGAGUCGCAAGACCUUGCGCCCUUAGAGAAGCCUAUGUCUGAUUAGCAAGUUGGUAGGGUAAUGGCCUACCAAGGCGACGAUCAGUAACUGGUCUGAGAGGACGAUCAGUCACACCGGAACUGAGACACGGUCCGGACUCCUACGGG